ACACUACUCCCUCCGUUCGGAAUUACUUGUCUUGAGAAUGGAUAUAUCUAGAAUUAAAAUAUGUCUAGAUACAUCCAUAUCUGCGACAAGUAAUUCCGAACGGAGGGAGUAUAUA
Molecule: non-coding RNA, 115 nt
Organism: Triticum aestivum (bread wheat)
Lineage: Eukaryota; Viridiplantae; Streptophyta; Magnoliopsida; Poales; Poaceae
Source: Rfam